This 465-nucleotide ribosomal RNA is filed under the name Staphylococcus epidermidis. RNAcentral describes it as "bacterial SSU rRNA". It matches the Rfam family "Bacterial small subunit ribosomal RNA", at positions 39 to 485 of the family's 1533-position model. The record is from RNAcentral. Lineage: Bacteria; Bacillati; Bacillota; Bacilli; Caryophanales; Staphylococcaceae.
GAAGCGGCGUGCCUAAUACAUGCAAGUCGAGCGAACAGACGAGGAGCUUGCUUCUCUGACGUUAGCGGCGGACGGGUGAGUAACACGUGGAUAACCUACCUAUAAGACUGGGAUAACUUCGGGAAACCGGAGCUAAUACCGGAUAAUAUAUUGAACCGCAUGGUUCAAUAGUGAAAGACGGUUUUGCUGUCACUUAUAGAUGGAUCCGCGCCGCAUUAGCUAGUUGGUAAGGUAACGGCUUACCAAGGCAACGAUGCGUAGCCGACCUGAGAGGGUGAUCGGCCACACUGGAACUGAGACACGGUCCAGACUCCUACGGGAGGCAGCAGUAGGGAAUCUUCCGCAAUGGGCGAAAGCCUGACGGAGCAACGCCGCGUGAGUGAUGAAGGUCUUCGGAUCGUAAAACUCUGUUAUUAGGGAAGAACAAAUGUGUAAGUAACUAUGCACUCUCGACGUACCUAAUCA